Molecule: non-coding RNA, 777 nt
Organism: Onychostoma macrolepis
Lineage: Eukaryota; Metazoa; Chordata; Actinopteri; Cypriniformes; Cyprinidae
Source: the annotation of a RefSeq genome assembly
AGUGCUCAGUUAAUAUGCAAAACACACUCACAUGCAUCCUGGAAUUUACCUCAAAAUCAUUAAAAAUACAUUUUGUAGCAUUUUAUUUGUUAACAAUUUAUUUCUAUUUUUGAUGUAACUGAAUUAGACUAAAAUGCAUUAUUAGUUUUAGUGUCAGUGUCAGUGUUAUUUUGAGUGUUGGUGUCAGUGUGUUUUAGUGCAGGAGGUUUUUGUACAGAUGUUGAUUGAGUUUGUAUCACUGUGGUGGACUUUCGGUGGAGGAACUCGACUCUCAGUUGGAACUGCGGCUCGUCCCGCUCUCACGGUGCUGCCUCCCUCCAGAGACGAGCUGCAGCAGGGUAAGGCUACAGUGCUGUGUGUGGCCAGUAAGGGAUUCCCCUCUGACUGGAAGCUGAGCUGGAAGGUGGACGACAGCAGCAGGAGCUCUGGUGUCAAUCUGAGUCCCGGUCAGCUGCAGAAGGAUGGACUGUACAGCUGGAGCAGCAGCCUGAGCCUCACUGAGAGUGAGUGGAGCAGAGCAACAACCGUCAGCUGUGACGCCACGCACCCGUCCCACAAUGCAGUGACCAAGAGCCUCGACACACAGCAGUGCAAUGACCAGUGAAACACACACACUGACACACUGUCCUAAAUCAGCCAAUGCUCAACAAUUAAUCUUUCAUGCUGUUGGUAUAUUGCUCAUAUAUUCUUAUCUGUUGUAACUCUACAACUACAAUGCUACGAAUGUUUUGUUGAUCUUUUUAUUCUUGCUGCCAAAUAAAAGCAUUUUGUCUUAAA